UGAGGAAUAUUGGUCAAUGGGCGAGAGCCUGAACCAGCCAAAUCGCGUGAAGGAUGAAGGUAUUAUGUAUUGUAAACUUCUUUUGUCAGGGAAUAAAGUGCGGCACGUGUGCUGUUUUGUAUGUACCUGAAGAAUAAGGAUCGGCUAACUCCGUGCCAGCAGCCGCGGUAAUACGGAGGAUCCAAGCGUUAUCCGGAUUUAUUGGGUUUAAAGGGUGCGUAGGCGGAACUUCAAGUCAGCGGUGAAAGUUCCCGGCUUAACCGGGGAAUUGCCGUUGAAACUGUUGUUCUUGAGUGUAGACGAGGUAGGCGGAAUUCGUGGUGUAGCGGUGAAAUGCUUAGAUAUCACGAAGAACUCCGAUUGCGUAGGCAGCUUACUAGGCUACAACUGACGCUGAGGC
This 400-nucleotide ribosomal RNA is filed under the name uncultured bacterium. RNAcentral describes it as "bacterial SSU rRNA". It matches the Rfam family "Bacterial small subunit ribosomal RNA", at positions 355 to 752 of the family's 1533-position model. The record is from RNAcentral.